RNAcentral lists this small RNA (5199 nucleotides) under Pan troglodytes (chimpanzee). Its description in RNAcentral is "retained intron". Lineage: Eukaryota; Metazoa; Chordata; Mammalia; Primates; Hominidae. The record is from RNAcentral.
AACCAGGAUUGCCCCCGACAGGUCACUCAGCUCUACGUGCCAGCAUCCAGACAUGUGUGGAGGUUCCGGCGGAUGGGGAGGAUAGGCCCGCUGCAGUCCACCCUGGACGGUGAGUUCUCUAGGACACAGGGUUACUGAGGUAUGAAUUACACGCUGUCAAAUUCACUCCUUUAAUCUACAGAUCUGUUAUUUUUCAUAAACUUAUACAGCCAUGUCACUCCCAGCAGGAGCUACCAUGUAGAAAAGUUUCAUCACCCACAAAAUUGCCUCUAGCUCCAUUGCGGCCACCUCUUCAGCAGCCACCCAUUUCUGUUUUGUCCUGUCACUUUGCCUUUUGCAAAAGGCCUCCAAAAGGAACCAUGCUGUGUAGUCUGCUCCUGGCUCCUUUUGGUCAGCACGCUGCAUUUGAGGGUGCUGUGUGGGUUGAUUGUUCCCUCUGUUGCUCAGCAGUAUUCCAGUGUGGGAAUGCACCACAGUUUGUGAAUCCAUUCAUUGCUUGAAAGACAUUUGGUUAUUUUUUCAGUCUCUGGGAAUACGAGUACAGCUGCUAUAAACAUCUAUGUACAGGUUUUUCUGUGAACAUACAUUUUGUUUUGACAUGGAGUAAGUUUCACUGGGAGUAAGAAUCCUGAGACAUUUGGCAAGUUUAUGUUUAACUUGAUGAGAAGCUGCAGAACUGUGUUCCAGGGUGGCUGCACGGCUUUACAUUCAGACCAGCAAUGAAUGAGAGCCUCUGUUGUUCCCAGUCCUCACCAGCACUUACAGUUGUCAUUUAAAAAAAAAAUUCUAUGGGCCAGGCGUGGUGGCUCACGCCUGUAAUCCCCAGCACUUUAGGAGGCCGAGGUGGGCGGAUCAGGAGGUCAGGAGUUCAAGACCAGCCUGACCAACAUAGUGAAACCCCGUCUCUACUAAAAAUACAAAAAACUAGCUGAGCGUAGUGGCGGGCACCUGUAAUCUCAGCUACUUGGGAGGCUGAGGCAGGAGAAUCGCUUGAACCCAGGAGGUGGAGGUUGCAGUGAGCCAAGAUCACACCACUGCACUCCAGCCUGGGUGACAGUACAAGACUGUCUAAAAAAAAAAAAAAAUUGGCCAUUAUAAAAGGUGGGAAAUGGUAUCUUAUUGUGGUUUUAAUUUGUGUCUACCAGCCGACUAAUGAUAUUCAGCAUCUUUUUCAUGAAUUUGUUUUUUUGUUUUGUUUUCUUGGUUGUUUUUUGUUUUUUUUUGGAGACAGGGUCUCACUGUGUGCUCAGGCUGGAGUGCAGAGGCGCAAUCACGGCUCACUGCAGCCUUGACUUCUUGGGCUUCAGCGAUCUUCCUGCCGUAGCUUCCAAAGUAGUUGUGACCACAGGCAUGUGCCACCACACCUGGCCAAUUUUUUAAUUUUUUUGUAGAGAUGGAAUCUCCAUAUGUUGCCCAGGCUGGCCUUUAACUCCUGGGCUCAAGGGAUCUUCCCACCUUGGCCUCCCAAAGUACUACGAUUACAGGUGUGAGCCACUGCACACUGCCUGUGAACAUGUUUUUUAGUUAUUGAAUUUUCAGAGUUAUAAAGCUAUUCUGGAUAUAGUUUAUCAGAUAUGUGAUUUGCAAAUAUUUUGUCCCAAUCUGUGGCUUGUCUUUUUUCUUUUCUUAGCAGUGUCUUUCAAGGAGGAGAAGUUUUAAAUUUUGAUAGAAUCCCAUUUACCAUUUUUUUCUUUAAUGAAAUUGUGCUUUUGAUGUGAUAUCUAAGAUACCUUCACCUAACACUUUACUUUUUUUUUUUUCUUUUUUCUUUUUUUUUGAGGCUGGGUCUCAGUGUGUCACCAGGCUGGAGUGCAAUGGUGCAAUCACAGCUCACUGCAGCCUUGAACUCCGCAGUCUCAGGCAGUUCUCCCACCUCAGCCUCCUGAGUAGCUGGGACUAUAGGCGCGUGCCACCAUGCCCAGCUAAUUUUUUAAAAAAUUUUCUUUGUAGAGGCAAGGUCUCUCUGUGAUGCUCAGUUUCUCAAACUCCUGAGCUCAAGGGAUGCUCUCGCCUCAGCCUGGGAUUACAGGCAUAAGCUGCCAUCCCCAGCUCCUUGAAAUGAGUUUUAAGAGGCCAAGUUAUGAUUUAUUGUUGGAAAGGAAUGGGAUAUGUGUUUAUUCAUGAAAUACUGCCUGGGGCCUACUGUGUAUACAGCCUUCUCCCAGGCACCAUCUCAUGCACACACGCCUGGUCUGGGAGGAACUUUGUUGCCAUAGUAGGAGGGAAAGGGCACGAAGGUGGUCGGGGGUGGCCAGGGCACCUCCCACUGCUGGAUCUGGCUGCAUUCGGGCCUCACUGCCAGUGCUCGGGCUAGCUGUGCACUUGAGACGUGCUAGACAGCUGGAGUGGAAGUGUAGUUCUUGAUUAGGACAUCUUUAAUAUUCGAUCAAGGUAUGUAUUCGGGGAGCUACUGUGCUGAUCCUGCACUGUGCAUGGCUCAUGGGUCUGCCUGAGGCGGGGAUGUGUUCAUGGAACUGGAUUUAGAUAAAUGAGUUAAUCAGGAUGAUUUCAAGAAUCUUCACCUUAAGAAUUGUCAGUGGGAAUGCAGGGGAAAGUACAAGUGAACUAAUUAAGGUUUUAAAAUGUGUUGUAGUGGGUUUGGAGUCCCCGCCGCUGUCUGUGUCUGAGGAAAGACAGCUUGCUGUCCUGACAGAGUUGCCUUUUGUGGUUCCAUUUGAGGAACGAGUAAAGAUCUUUCAGAGGUUGAUUUAUGCAGAUAAGCAAGAAGUUCAAGGAGAUGGUCCAUUUCUGGAUGGAAUUAAUGUCACAAUAAGAAGAAAUUACAUUUAUGAAGAUGCUUAUGACAAACUUUCUCCAGAAAAUGAGCCUGAUUUGAAAAAGCGGAUCCGUGUGCACUUGCUCAAUGCCCAUGGCCUGGAUGAAGCUGGCAUUGAUGGUGGUGGUAUUUUCAGAGAGUUUUUAAAUGAACUACUGAAGUCAGGAUUUAACCCCAACCAGGGGUUCUUUAAGACUACUAAUGAAGGGCUUCUGUACCCCAACCCGGCUGCUCAGAUGCUUGUGGGAGAUUCUUUUGCCAGACAUUACUACUUCCUAGGCAGAAUGCUUGGAAAGGCUCUCUAUGAGAACAUGCUGGUGGAGCUGCCCUUUGCGGGCUUCUUUCUUUCCAAGUUGCUUGGAACCAGUGCCGAUGUGGACAUUCACCACCUCGCCUCCCUAGACCCUGAGGUGUAUAAGAAUUUGCUCUUUCUGAAGAGCUACGAAGACGAUGUGGAGGAGCUUGGGCUGAACUUCACUGUGGUGAACAAUGACCUGGGAGAGGCGCAGGUAGUUGAACUAAAAUUCGGUGGGAAAGACAUCCCUGUCACCAGCGCCAACCGGAUUGCGUACAUCCACUUGGUGGCAGACUACAGGCUGAACAGGCAGAUCCGCCAGCACUGCCUGGCUUUCCGCCAGGGCCUUGCCAAUGUCGUCAGCCUCGAGUGGCUCCGAAUGUUUGAUCAGCAAGAAAUUCAGGUAUUAAUUUCUGGUGCACAAGUUCCCAUAAGCCUAGAGGACCUAAAAUCCUUUACAAACUAUUCAGGAGGCUAUUCUGCAGACCAUCCUGUUAUUAAGGUCUUCUGGAGAGUUGUGGAAGGGUUCACUGAUGAAGAAAAGCGCAAACUGCUGAAGUUUGUAACAAGCUGCUCUCGACCCCCUCUCUUGGGGUUUAAGGAGUUGUAUCCCGCAUUUUGUAUUCACAACGGAGGCUCCGACCUUGAGCGGCUCCCCACAGCCAGCACCUGCAUGAACCUGCUGAAGCUCCCCGAGUUCUAUGACGAGACACUUUUGCGAAGUAAACUUCUCUAUGCGAUUGAAUGUGCCGCUGGCUUUGAGCUGAGCUGAAGCUGAUGCUGGGGUCCGACCCCUACAGAGAACCAGUGCUUCCUUCGUCAGCAGCGCCUCCCCAGACCCACGAGGAUACUCACACUGCACGCCUGAGGCUCUCCUAAGCUCCUUCUUUCAUUCUGCCAUUCCUCCCUCCCUUCCUUUUUUAAAUGAUUUUUAUUACGGUGUGGUCACUUAUUUAGAUGGACAUUGCUUUUCAAAUAACUUAAAAUAACACGUUAUGUGCCAUGUGGCUACUUUAGUAAUAUUGCCAAGAAGAGCACAGUUUUUACACUAGUGGCAUCUCAGUGAAAUUAACCAAAGAUGAAGCUUUGGCUUUGCUGGUGAGAUCAGAGCCCUCCUGAGCAGGCAGCGCUGCUCCAGGGUUCAGACAGGGCUGCGCAGGCGGCAGAGAUACAGGGUCUGAGGCUGAGACGCCAUGGGGCCGCUGCUGCUUAUGUGGUUGGAUUGUUUACAAGCCUCAUUAUUAAAACUGAAGGCAUUUUUUUUUUCUGCUGCCUUUCCCAAAGUGGUUAGGUUUGGAAAAGAGAUGAUGAUGGUAAUAUUUUAUUUGUGCUUUUUAAGCCAUUUCCCCAAAUGGGACUAGCAUGCUUGUUUUCAGUAUACCGUGGCCUGCCUCAUGAUGGUUUGGAGAUACCGUCUGUGGAUGUGAGGUGGAGACUUCAUUCAUUGUCCUAUUUCUAUCUCCACUUUGUGCCUGGAGAGCUUUCAGGGGAGGUGGAGGAGGAGGGUCUGCCAAGCUACUGCAACAUCUGUCACCCACUAUACCCAGUUACUUGGGGGAGGACAGACACUGUGGUGUCAUUAAAGUUGUUUGAACCAAAGUGGCGGCUGCAUCUUUGUCCCGAUGCUAGCCGUGCCGGUCUCCCAUCAUCCGCUCGCCCUCCUUUCCCCUGGGCUGCGCCCACUUGUCUUCCUGGAUAUUUGGGGGUGACUCGCCAUGCUUGGCACCCUCUGCUUCCUGGUGCUGCUCUGACUCGAAGACGGGACAGUCCCUGGUGCACAUCCAGGGAAGAGGAGUGUCGGUAGUUCUUGCAGUAGGCACUUUAUCAGGGCCUGACCUGUUGCUGGGUGAUUUUAGUCUCUACAAACAGCGUUUCAAAGCGUCAGCUGUGGGAGCAGAGUGACCCUUUGCUGAUGCUGGGGGGAGGGGAUCUAAAUCCUCAUUUAUCUCUUCUAUGUCUAGUAUUUUACUGUCACUGGAGGCUCUGUGGGCUGUCAUAGUUAAUUGACCAUAAUUAGCAAUAUACUUUUAAAGUGGGAAAGCUGAAUGACACUUUUAAGACAAUGAACAUUAUCAAAACAAAAUGUAUAAUUUCUUAAUUUGAAUAAUAAAUUAAGCGUUUAAAUGCU